GUGCAGCAGGCGCGAAACCUCCGCAAUGCACGAAAGUGUGACGGGGUCACCCCGAGUGCCAUCCGCUGAGGGUGGCUUUUGCUCGGUGUAAUGAGCCGAGUGAAUAAGGGGAGGGCAAGUCUGGUGUCAGCCGUCGCGGUAAUACCAGCUCCUCGAGUUGUUGGGACGAUUAUUGGGUCUAAAGCGUCCGUAGCCGGCCGGAAAAGUUCACCGUUAAAUCCGACGAUUCAAUCGUCGGGCUGCGGAGAAUACUCUUCGGCUUGGGGGCGGGGGAGGUCGGCGGUAGUCCCGGGGUAGGGGCGAAAUCUUAUAAUCCCGGGAGGACCACCAGUGGCGAAGGCGGCCGACUAAAACGUGCCCGACGGUGAGGGACGAAAGCUGGGGGAGCGAACGGGAUUAGAUACCCCGGUAGUCC
RNAcentral lists this ribosomal RNA (415 nucleotides) under uncultured crenarchaeote. RNAcentral's name for it is "bacterial SSU rRNA". It matches the Rfam family "Archaeal small subunit ribosomal RNA", at positions 330 to 747 of the family's 1478-position model. The record is from RNAcentral. Lineage: Archaea; Thermoproteati; Thermoproteota.